GCACUUGGGUGGCAGAGGAUAUACUAUGAUCACAAAAGGUGGUUUUCCCAGGAGGGCAAGUCUUAUCCACUUGCUGCUGAACCCUGUGGCUUCCCCAGAAGUGAGAAACUCAAGUGCAUAAUUUUAACUUUAUUUUUAUGAAAUUAAAU
RNAcentral lists this small nuclear RNA (149 nucleotides) under Sorex araneus (European shrew). RNAcentral's name for it is "U1 spliceosomal RNA (ENSSARG00000018933.1)". It matches the Rfam family "U1 spliceosomal RNA". Rfam says of the family: U1 is a small nuclear RNA (snRNA) component of the spliceosome (involved in pre-mRNA splicing). Its 5' end forms complementary base pairs with the 5' splice junction, thus defining the 5' donor site of an intron. There are significant differences in sequence and secondary structure between metazoan and yeast U1 snRNAs, the latter being much longer (568 nucleotides as compared to 164 nucleotides in human). The record is from RNAcentral. Lineage: Eukaryota; Metazoa; Chordata; Mammalia; Eulipotyphla; Soricidae.